UUUGUGCCCUAUCAAUAUCGUAAACAAUCUCAUAAAUCUGAUUACUCUGGCAAAUAUCAGUUGAUGUUAAUAAACUGUGUUCUUUGUUUCAGUUUGCUCUAGGUGCUGUAAAUUCAGAGGUUCUUCUUGGAAGGUAUGAGCUUUAAAAUAUUUACAUGAUUUUCAUAUGCAGUAAUGUGCUGUUUUUCAGGCCUGGUGUGUGGGAAAAUGGUGGUCAAGUGUAGCAAAAUUAUUUCCUCAUCAAACUAUUCAUUUCAUAUGGUUAAUGGAAUUAUUCAAGAUCGGAUCAAGAGAAAGCUUAUAUAAAUAACAUAUGAAACAACUAGCUCAAGUUCUUGGAAGUGAGGAAGAGGCUAAGAAGAAGAUAUACUCUGUUUCCACUACUUGGCGCCCUCAUUUCCGAAGAGCUUUCUUACAAAGUUAAAGCAUUUUUGAUAUCACAAUUGCUUUGUAUUUAAAAGACUCCUCAACACUCUUAUUUCUUGAUGAACCAACAAGUGGACUUGACAGUGCUGCCUCUUACUAUGUCAUGAAAAGAAUUAAAUCCUUUGAUCAUAAAGAUGCCAUUCAAAGGACAGUUAUUGCAUCAAUCCAUCAGCCUAGUGCUGAAGUUUUUCAAUUCUUUGAUAAUCUC
Non-coding RNA from Arachis ipaensis, 634 nucleotides. Lineage: Eukaryota; Viridiplantae; Streptophyta; Magnoliopsida; Fabales; Fabaceae. The record is from RefSeq and is a predicted model, not a curated record.